AUGUCUACUUAUGAGACACAAAUCAAUGCAACCAGACUGCGAAAGUGCAAACAGAGAUGUGAGAAAAUUAUUCAAUCAUUAGUCUUCUAUGGAAUUUCAAAACGUGGAAUCUUUUCAUUGUCCCAGUACAAGAAAGAAAGAAAGAAAAAAAGAAAGAAAGAAGGAAAGAAAGAAAAGAAAAGAAAGACUAGAAGAAAGGAAGGCAGGACAAGACAACUGGUUCUAAUUUCAUCAAGGCUUCUCUCUCACGAUUAUGGAAAAGAAAUCAGGGAGUGAAGUGGAAUGGAUCAGAAACCUACAAGUGAAGUAAUCAAGAAUGGAUUACUGAGCAACAUUUUUGAAAACAGCAAUGCUUGCAAUAAAAGAAUAUAAAUGUCACACUCUGUGUUACACAAUCACAACGUUGAGGUUGUGAUUUUCUGGCAGUUCAGAUUUCUGAAUUACAACCCUUCACAAAGAAGUGAAUAAAGACCUUCAAGCAUCCAAUGAGUGUCCCGAAGUCUCUGACCAAACCCUCCUUUCAAGCAGUAUUGUCUCUAUAGCACUUAUUUACCUGGUUUUCCAACCCAAAGUAGACUAGAAAAUAUACUUAGCAUAGGUGUUUGGAAGAAGAUGGCCCUGAAAAACUGGGACAUUGACACCAGUGAGCUACAGUAGUAGAUAAUGGCUGCAACUUGGCCUAUGGCCCUUAGACUGAGCAGUGAGGGUUGAGUCCAAAUCUCAAGGAAAAUCAGGAGCAAUGGAUACUCACAAGGAGUACCUUGUAUCAUAUGAAAAAAUGUAAAUGGUAUCCGCUUAGUCUGUUUAUGAAAACAGGGACAUGUAAGUUUUGCACUGAAAAAAGUGUAAACUACAGUUUAUUGCUUAAAGAGACAAGUUUAUGCCAUUAAAAUAUAUAUGGGACAUUUC
This 909-nucleotide long non-coding RNA is filed under the name Suricata suricatta (meerkat). Its description in RNAcentral is "lncRNA (ENSSSUG00005001450.1)". The record is from RNAcentral. Lineage: Eukaryota; Metazoa; Chordata; Mammalia; Carnivora; Herpestidae.